CGAACCCCCGAAGCGCGUCCCCGCGCAGGCCGUGGGCGCGCACGGCCGCUGCCGCCGUUUGUUCUGGUGGAGGCUGCGAGUGCCUGGGCCUGUGACUCCCGGCUCUCCGCGCGCAGCGUCAGUCUGGGAGGGAAGCUCACAUGGCGGUCCCUAGGGUGCGACUGGAGGGAGGCGGGACGAUGCUACUCCUUGCUCCCCAACCUGACACCUUGGUGCGGUAAAACUGUAAGAAGGUAACAAAAUCAUAUCUGAAGCCCAGGUCUUCUUUUCUUUUACUACAGAUGCCCUGGACAUCAUUCCGAACAGCACAAUUCAAGGCUCUUGGGUAACCCCCUCCCACACCAACUCUGAGUUUGUUUAUGGCUUGUUUUGGACAAUAAGACAUUAGCAAAUGAGAUAUAAGUACAGGCUUGAGAAGUACAUGGGCACUGGGGCUUGCUUGCUGGCUGCUCUGUGGAACCUGAGACUACCACGUGAAGAAGAAGUUCGAAGUGCUAGAGGUUGAGAGAACAUGUGCAGCAAAGAUGAAGCAUCCCAGCUGAGAUUCCCCUAGAUCAAUCAGCUUGCCAACUGCCGCAAAAGCGAAUAAAGCCUUCCAAGAGCAUCCAGCUAUAAGGUGAGCCAGUCCAGACCGGAAGAAUCACCUGAUCAACUGAAAGAUAUAUGUGAAAUAAUAAAUGUUAGAGGUUUUAAAUUUUAAGAGGUACAGAGGCAUAUGGUUGAUGGUUCUGUUGUAUAAUCAUUAUUUAGUCUGGAAAGAAUCACUUGGAGUCGUCUGCUUUUAACUUUUGUCAUAAACACAACAUAUGAGAUAACAUAUUUCAAAA
This 827-nucleotide long non-coding RNA is filed under the name Homo sapiens (human). RNAcentral's name for it is "HSALNT0335914". Lineage: Eukaryota; Metazoa; Chordata; Mammalia; Primates; Hominidae. The record is from RNAcentral.